GACGAACGCUGGCGGCGUGCUUAACACAUGCAAGUCGAACGGAAAGGCCCUGCUUUUGUCGGGUGCUCGAGUGGCGAACGGGUGAGUAACACGUGAGUAACCUGCCCUUGACUUUGGGAUAACUUCAGGAAACUGGGGCUAAUACCGGAUAGGAGCUCCUGCUGCAUGGUGGGGGUUGGAAAGUUUCGGCGGUUGGGGAUGGACUCGCGGCUUAUCAGCUUGUUGGUGGGGUAGUGGCUUACCAAGGCUUUGACGGGUAGCCGGCCUGAGAGGGUGACCGGCCACAUUGGAACUGAGAUACGGCCCAGACUCCUACGGGAGGCAGCAGUGGGGAAUAUUGCACAAUGGGCGGAAGCCUGAUGCAGCAACGCCGCGUGCGGGAUGACGGCCUUCGGGUUGUAAACCGCUUUCGCCUGUGACGAAGCGUGAGUGACGGUAAUGGGUAAAGAAGCACCGGCUAACUACGUG
Molecule: ribosomal RNA, 468 nt
Filed under: uncultured bacterium
Lineage: Bacteria
Description: partial 16S ribosomal RNA
Rfam family: Bacterial small subunit ribosomal RNA
Source: RNAcentral